Non-coding RNA from Heterocephalus glaber (naked mole-rat), 719 nucleotides. NCBI's taxonomy places the organism in Eukaryota, Metazoa, Chordata, Mammalia, Rodentia, Bathyergidae. The record is from RefSeq and is a predicted model, not a curated record.
GGUUCCUGCCAAGGGCAUAACUCUUUCAGUGGGCCCAGGUCUGCUCGUACUGAAAUGCUGUUCUAGCUCAGUGAACCCGAGCGCUGCCUUCUGUUUUCCCAGGACAAGAGUUGUGAAAACACGCUGAAGAAUGCAUGCAGGCCAGGCUCCCAAAAGGCAGGCACUGGCUGCGUUCAUUGGAAGGACAGUGUGUUUGAGGACGGUACCACAACAUUACGAACCCCAAUUUGACCUGCAGGUUGCACACAACUGGCUUGCCUAGGCUGCACUGAGCUGGGAGGAACUCUCUUGGGCCACAGGCAAAGCAUGAAUCCACUCUGUCAAGUAGAGUGACCUUUCUUCUGUUGACCCUCCUGGGGCCCUUGCUUAGAAGAACCCUGUGGUGAGGAGCACAGCUGUGAUCCAGCUGCCUUGGGAUAGCAGCCACCAGACUCACAACUCCAGGAGAAACAACAGCAAUCAAGGAAACAGCAGCUCCUUCUGUAAACUGCCAUAUGAGUGUACCAGGGGCCUCCCUGUUAAAGACAUUGAAGCCUUAUGUAUCUUAUUCCAUACCACAGUCCUUUCCUUCUAUUGGAGUUGCAUCCAGGAAUACUGGCCCACUUUCUAAAUAUAUCUACAACUCGUAUUAUUGUCAUAACCAUUUCUAAUAAAAGAACUUCCUGCCACUGACUGUGUUCAUCCAUCAGGAAAUGGAUAUAAUAUUCUGAUCUGCUUAU